GUGGGGAAUCUUAGACAAUGGGCGCAAGCCUGAUCUAGCCAUGCCGCGUGAGCGAUGAAGGCCUUAGGGUUGUAAAGCUCUUUCGUGGGGGAAGAUAAUGACUGUACCCCAAGAAGAAGCCCCGGCUAACUCCGUGCCAGCAGCCGCGGUAAUACGGAGGGGGCUAGCGUUGUUCGGAAUUACUGGGCGUAAAGCGCACGUAGGCGGACUGGAAAGUCAGGGGUGAAAUCCCGGGGCUCAACCCCGGAACUGCCUUUGAAACUCCCAGUCUUGAGUUCGAGAGAGGUGAGUGGAAUUCCGAGUGUAGAGGUGAAAUUCGUAGAUAUUCGGAGGAACACCAGUGGCGAAGGCGGCUCACUGGCUCGAUACUGACGCUGAGGUGUGAAAGCGUGGGGAGCAAACAGGAUUAGAUACCCUGGUAGUCC
Molecule: ribosomal RNA, 425 nt
Filed under: uncultured bacterium
Lineage: Bacteria
Description: partial 16S ribosomal RNA
Rfam family: Bacterial small subunit ribosomal RNA
Source: RNAcentral